GGACAAAAGCUGGUGAUGAUUCAGUGCAGCUGGUCUCAGGGGAUGAAGCAAAAGCCUGAUCAACUUCUCUACAAAAACAAGGCUCAAUGAGACGGGGGAAGUAAACAGCGAUACAUUCACCCAGACUGCUGAUGUUCCUGUAUGAACUGAAAAACUUUGAACAUCCAAGAAAAAGCUGAGUGGAUCCCCAGGCCAAUACUCAGUAUCAGAAGAACAGCAGCAAGAAGCGCCAGGCACACUGCAGCCAGUCUGUGGCGUCUCCCAGGACUCAUAG
Oreochromis aureus is the source of this 274-nucleotide long non-coding RNA. RefSeq lists it as uncharacterized. The transcript is spliced from 3 exons. Lineage: Eukaryota; Metazoa; Chordata; Actinopteri; Cichliformes; Cichlidae. The record is from RefSeq and is a predicted model, not a curated record.